This 454-nucleotide long non-coding RNA is filed under the name Mytilus galloprovincialis (Mediterranean mussel). The record is from RNAcentral. Lineage: Eukaryota; Metazoa; Mollusca; Bivalvia; Mytilida; Mytilidae.
UAGAGAAGUAGUUAAUGAUCAAGUCUUGGAUAAAAACCAUGACAAAAAAAAAGAGAAAAACUUAUAUAAAGUACUUUUGAUCAACGAAAAAAAUAUCCGAAAUCUGAAUAUAAAGUACACGGCCAAUUAAAGCUUACUUUUGACUCUAGUUUAUACAUCACUCAGUUUCAGACAACGGAACUCUGAGAACAGAAAUACGUGUGAAAUUGUUUUUUAAAAUUUCCCAUCAGCAAGUUGGCCAACAUAGAGUGCGCUACAAGAAUGUCAUAUACAUUUACUACUACACUGUUUACUGUUGUUUUUUUUUUAAAUUAUAUUGGGGAUAACGGAAGUGCUAUUUAUAGAUAUGUUCUAUAUUUAAUUAUUUGUUACGCCCCCUAUAAAUUUUUGACCAGUCCGGUUAAUCACCCCAGACGCUAUAUUUAAAUAUGCGUCUGGGUAAUCGAGACUACAC